CAUCGAGGUUUCACUUUCAUUCGCAUCGUAUACACGCAGCUGACAGGGUCGCAAACGUUGUGUCCUCCCCCAGCAUGAGCGCGUAGAAGAAAGUGAUCGGAGAGUGCGAAUACUUGAAGAUUCGACAGUGCUUCAAUUCGAAUAGUUUAGCUGUGCAUCGGAUUAAGUUAUGCUUUAAAAUUAUCAAGUGAGACUAAUUUGCAAACGCUAAAAAGACAUUUGUUUUGGUUUUUAAAAUGAUUACAAGCUGCAACGCUUAAACAAGUGAUUCAAAGUGCAUCUUGACUGCGUGGCUGUAAACAUAAAUAAUCGGACCCUGCAAUUUUACUGUUUCAGUUGCCCAUAUUUAAUGGAUGCAGGGCCCUUGCUAUGUGGCAUCAAGUACAACUAUUAGCAGUGGCAUCGGCUGUAUUGGGCGUCUGCAUGUUUGUUAUGCCAGAAGUAAUACACGCUUCUGAGGCAACAACUAAUGCGGUGCCACGCCUCUUUCCACAACCACCAGGACCACAGAAUGCGACAACCCCAAAGAGCUUUGACAGCAAAGAUGGUGACUUAUUGAGUGGCAGCGACAAGGAUCUGAAUUUGCAGAGAGACAGACAUUUCGGAGUUAUCGAGGACCAGUACUUUGACAGUGCAUUACUAGGGGAAGAUGAGCAUAAACAUGUGAGCUUGGACCAAAUUGCAGAGACAGGACCUUUAAGGUAUGUAUUUUAUUCAAUGCGUGAUAAAAGA
Drosophila nasuta is the source of this 732-nucleotide long non-coding RNA. RefSeq lists it as uncharacterized. NCBI's taxonomy places the organism in Eukaryota, Metazoa, Arthropoda, Insecta, Diptera, Drosophilidae. The transcript has 3 exons. The record is from RefSeq and is a predicted model, not a curated record.